UGCCCGAUGGUGCAAUGGUAGCACACCAGAUUCUGGAUCUGGGUGUUCUAGGUUCGAGUCCUAGUCGGGCAGCCA
RNAcentral lists this transfer RNA (75 nucleotides) under Verrucomicrobiales bacterium. RNAcentral describes it as "tRNA-Gln". It matches the Rfam family "tRNA". From Rfam's summary of the family: Transfer RNA (tRNA) molecules are approximately 80 nucleotides in length. The record is from RNAcentral. RNAcentral also lists the same sequence under 2 other names. Lineage: Bacteria; Pseudomonadati; Verrucomicrobiota; Verrucomicrobiia; Verrucomicrobiales.